Molecule: ribosomal RNA, 451 nt
Filed under: uncultured bacterium
Lineage: Bacteria
Description: partial 16S ribosomal RNA
Rfam family: Bacterial small subunit ribosomal RNA
Source: RNAcentral
GUGGGGAAUAUUGGACAAUGGGGGGAACCCUGAUCCAGCCAUGCCGCGUGUGUGAAGAAGGCCUUUUGGUUGUAAAGCACUUUAAGCGAGGAGGAGGCUACCGAGAUUAAUACUCUUGGAUAGUGGACGUUACUCGCAGAAUAAGCACCGGCUAACUCUGUGCCAGCAGCCGCGGCAAUACAGAGGGUGCAAGCGUUAAUCGGAUUUACUGGGCGUAAAGCGCGCGUAGGUGGCCAAUUAAGUCAAAUGUGAAAUCCCCGAGCUUAACUUGGGAAUUGCAUUCGAUACUGGUUGGCUAGAGUAUGGGAGAGGAUGGUAGAAUGCCAGGUGUAGCGGUGAAAUGCGUAGAGAUCUGGAGGAAUACCGAUGGCGAAGGCAGCCAUCUGGCCUAAUACUGACACUGAGGUGCGAAAGCAUGGGGAGCAAACAGGAUUAGAAACCCGAGUAGUCC